CUUUUUGUCUCCUAUCUCUUUGUUUGGACAUUUUUUUUUAAAAAAGCCUGACUGGUCUUUUGUUUGUAUAUUAUGGCCUCUGAUUUUGUGUUUUUAAGGUAGGCAUGCGUGGUGUGUGUGUGGUAUGUGUAUGAGUGUGUGUGUGGUCUGUGUGUGAGUAUGUAUGUGUGUGUGUAUGCCUUUUUGUGAUCUUUCUCCUUCCUUCCUUCCUCCCUCUCUUUCUUUCUUUCUUUCUUUCUUUCUUUCUUUCUUUCUUUCUUUCUUUCUUUCUUUCUUAUUUCUUUCAUUUGUUUGUGCUUUUUAGUUCUGGUUUGGUUUGGUUUUUUGAGAUUUUUUUUGUCUCAUAUUGCUUUAUUUGGACAUUUUUUUAAAGCCUUUUUGGUCUUUUGCUUGUACAUUAUGGCUUCUGAUUUUGUGUUUUUAAGGUAAGUGUGUAUGGUAUGUGUGAAUGUGUGUGUGUUCUGAGUCUGUGUGUGUGCAUGUGUGUAUGCAUUUCUUGUAGUCUCUCUCUCUCUCUUCCUUCCUUUCUUCCUUCCUUUCUCUCUUUCUUUCUUUCUUCCUUCCUUUCUUUCUUUCUUUGUUAGUUCAUUUCAUUUUAUUCUUGUUUGUACCCCCCCUUUUUUUUGCCUGUUUGUUUUCUUAAGAGACAGAGAAAAAGGAUGUGUAGAAUUGGCAGGGUGGGGAGGUAGGAAGGGUUUGGGAGGAAGCUGUGAUUCCAAUAUAUCAUACAAAAAUAACAGUUUUCAAUUAAAAGUGAAAAUCAUAAAAUAUUAGGGAAAAACUGCAGAAAGUUCCAAUGAAGCCACUUUCAUGUGCAGGGCAUGGAGUCCCGUGUGCUGAGCCCUUACGAUGUGUAGGCAUUGCUUUAGACGUUAGGAAUACUUAAAAUAUGUAGGAAGGCACCAAGGUUAUACGCAAAUACCAUGGGCUUUUAUCUAGAGCUCUUGAGCAUCCACAGGCAUCCGGGAAACAACGAACGUCCUGUGGAUAGUGAGAAACAACUGUGCUCACAAACCUCUCAUUUCUGUACAUUUUCCACAGGCCCGAUGUAUAUAUUGAAUGUAAACAUUUCAUUACGAAAAAAAUUAAACUGAACACAGUAAUGCAGGAAACUUGAGAGGGUGCUGGUUAGUUUUUUGUCAACUUGACACAAGCUAGUGUCCUAUGGGAAUAGGGAACCUCGACGGAGAAAAGGCUUCCAUCAAACUGGCCUGUAGGCAAGUCUGUGGGGGCAUUUUCUUGAUUAAUGUGUGAUGUGAGAGGGCUAGGCUCACUGUGGGAAAUACUACCUCUGGGCAGAUGGUCUGGAUUGUUUAAGAAAAUUGAGCGAACCAUGAGAACGAGCCAGGACGGAGGACUUUUCCAUGGGCUUUGCUUCACUCCCUGCCUCCAAGUUUCUGCCUUGAGCUCCUUCCCUGACUUCCUUUCUUAGGCACAGAGCCAUUUUUUUUUUGAAGACUUUCUUUCUUUCUUUUUUUUUUUUCUUUUAAUUACACAUAGAUUUGUGGAUAUGUGCAUGUCAGAGACCAGAGGGAGUGUCAGAUUUCCUGUGAUCUGCCUGAGGUGGAUUCUGGGAAUUGAACCAGGUCCUCAGGAAGAGCAGCCAGUGCGAUCUUAACCACUGAGCCAUCUCUCCAGCCCUGCCCUUGACUUCCUCGGUGAUGGACUGUGACUGGGUUGUAUAAGUUAAAUAAACCCUUUCCUCCCCAGGUUGUGUUUGGUCAGUGUUUAUCACAGCAACAGAAAGCAAGCUGGGACAAGGGAUGUUAUACACUAUAUAGAAAGAAACUAUAAAGCAGCAGAAGGACUUUUCCUAUCAGUCUGCCCUAGGAAGAAUAGAAGGGUUGAGGAAAUUGAUCAGUUGGUAAAAUGUCUGCCAGGCAAGCACGAAGGUUGGAGUUUGAUCUCCAGCAUCCAAGUAAAAGAUUGAGUGAGACAACAUGUGCCUGUAAUCUCAGUGUUUGGGAAGGAGGUAGAAAGCAGGUAGAUCCGUGGACCUCACGGAUGAGCCAACUCAGGGAGACAUCUUGUCUCAGAAAUUAAUAGCUGGGCGAUGGUGGGGGUGGUGGCACAUGUCUUUAAUCCUAACACUCGGGGCAAAGAAACAGGAGGAUCUCUGUGAGUUCUAACCCAGCCUGGCCUGCAAAGUAAGUUCUAGGACAGCCAAGAGUACACAGAGAAACCCUGACUUGGAAAACCAAAAAUAAAUAUAUAAAUAUAAAUAAAAAUUAAGAUGGAGAACAGUUGAGCAACUGAGAAAAAUACAUGACAUUGGCAGCUAGCAUCCACAUGUACACACAUGAGGACAUAUGUACAUAUUACUGCAUGUAAAUAACACAUAUACUCAUGCACAUCUACACUACACACAGACAAAAAAAAAUUGAAACUCUAGUGUGUGUUAGAACAUGGACGAAUACUGAAGCUCUUAUGCGAAGUGAGAAGUAUCUUUCAUGAAAAGAGAUACCUGGAAGAACUUGAAGCAAUGAAAUGAAUAUGGACACACAAGGUAUACGAGUGAUUUCCAGGAGGCUUGAGGGAAAGUUACCACCUGAUGAUAUGAGAUUUCGGUCUUGUAAGAGGAAAGGAGUUUUGCGUGUUGGCAAAUGUAAUAAUUUCCCCUAAACUAAUCAAUUGAUAUCCACUAGUUUAGUAAACUCUAUGCACAUACACAGAGCUGCAAGGAAAAAUUAUAAUAUUAACUUUUAGAGUAGAAUAGUAGCAAUGAAUAUUCUGCAAACUCCUACUUCACCACCAAGCAUGCCCAGAUGGUGCCUAGCUUACAGUGCUCAGACCUCAGACUGUUCAAGCCUCUGACGCUGGGCCGGUGAUACACAGCAGAGAGUUCAGGGCUGGCCUACUAAACGUUUGGAAGUGGUUCGUGUAUUUCACACUAUGUUUAUUUUCCCAAAAUCAAAAACUUAAAAAAAAAAUUCGCAGAGGGUCAUUGCGGGGGAGGAGGGGUACACCAUAGCAGCAACAAAUAACUUCUUAUAAUGUUGAGAGGACAGUUCCCCCAAGAAACCAGCAAGCCUCCUUGAUAUGCACCCCUCAUCAAGAUGCACAAACUAAAAAUUGAUUGCCCUGGGGAAAGAGAGAGAUGAGGCAACCCUCACAGUUGAAGACGCUCAGCACUCUUCUCCUAGGAAUGGAUAGAUCCAAGAGAUAUAAAUGUGAUGAAGACAUUCUUGAACUGCAAAGGACCAUUAAUUAUUGGAUUUACUAAAAUCUGUAAAGUACUUCAUAUAAUAAUCAGAAGAAUUUAACUUCUUCACAUGUUUAUAUGGAACAUUCACUAACACAAGCCGCAUUCUGGGCCAUAAAACCCAUCUCAAUAAAUUUGAAAGAAUAGAUAUUAUACAAGAUAUGUUCUUAAAUGACAGCGGAAUUUGACUAGAAACCAGUAACUAACAGAUAGCUGGAGAUAGAUAGAUACACUCCAAACUCUGAAUAAUCAUAAAACACAUUUCUAAAUGUCAAAGGAAAAUUCCCAAGAAAUACCAAAGAGUACUUCAGCUCAUAGAAAAUGACACUACAACUCAAGGUAAUUUAUCAGUAUAGUGAAAGUGCUUAGAGAGAGAUUUAUAGCAUUGAAUGCAAAAACUAGAGUAGAAGGAAAGUCUAAUAUAUAACCUAAGUGAUCACCUUAGGGAACUAGUAAAAAAAAAAAAGAAAAUUAAGUGCAAAGCAGUCAUAAGAAAAUAAGAAGAAAUAUCAACACAUUAAUGAAAUGGGGCAUAGUAAAAAGUUAAUUCUUUGAAAAGAUCAAUAAAUGUGAUAGGCUUGAUCCAGAUUAGCUAAGACACAACAGCAAAGACAAAAAUUAUUGACAUCAAAACGGGAACCAUCUCUGCACUGAAAAGAUAAGUGAAAAUAUUGAGGACUCUGAUCACUGCACUGAAAAGAUAAAUGAAAAUAUUGAGGACUCCGAUCACUGCACUGAAAAGAUAAAUGAAAAUAUUGAGGACUCUGAUCUCAUAGGCACUAAAGGGACAAUCAGAAAUAGCAUGGGCUCCAUGUCCACGAUUUAAAAUGCAGAUGGAAUGUGUAGAUUUCUUGAGAGAUUCGACGUAAAUCUUACGUAAAGAUAAAUGCAUAAUCUCAGUAGAUCCGUCUGUAUUGAAAGUGUGCGAGUAGUCAGUAACUUUCAAAAUUAGAAAGUACCAUUCCCAGCUGGACUCCUCGGGUUGUUCCACUGAACAUUUCAGAAACAGACAUGAAAUGCCAUGACUCAUCUAUCACACUAACAUUACCACAGCACUAGACAGGAACUUUUAGGAAAGGCUAUGAUAGCCAAGCAUCGUAAACAUAGAUAGAAGAAUCUUUUAUAAAAUAUUAGCAAAAUGAAACCAACAAUAUGAAAGAAAUUAUACACUAUAACCAAGUGUGCUUGACUUUGGGUGGCUGGUUGAAUGUUCGAAAACAAAUGUCAUCUGGCUAAAGAAAACAUAUCAUUAUAUAUGAUCCAAAGCAAAGUUACCUCUAGGCAGACUAGGAUUAUGCACAACUUUCUCGACUUGAUAAUAGCCAUGAGUCUUGUGGUAGAUUGGAACAAAUGAAUCUGAAGUUUAUAAUCAAGAGUCAAAAAAAAAAAUUCUAAAAGAGAUUUCAUUCUAAAUCUAGCCAACUUACUAAGAACCUGAAAUAACCAAGGCAGUGCGGUCUUCGAAACGUCGAGAGAAGACUAGAAAGAUGGCUCUGCCAUUAAGAACACUGUGUGCUCUUCCAGAGUCCUGAGUUCAAUUUCUAGUAACCACGGUGGCUCACAACCAUCUGUAAUGGGAUCUGAUGCCCCCUUCUGGUGUGUCUGUCUGUGACAGUGUACUCAUACACAUAAGGCAAAUCUUUAAACAGAAAGAAAUAAAGAAACAGCCCCCUUCCCCAGAAAUAAGCCAAACCAGUGGGCCAGAAAUAGGUCUACACAUGUAAGCCAAACAGUGGUUGAAGAAGGAGAAAUGGUUGUUUAAUGGAGGAAGUAUAGUCUUUCAACAGACCACUCUGGAACAAUGGCCCAUCACAAGACUCGCAUAUGCACACCCUCAAAGGACUCUAAACAUAUUUCACUCUUUUCACAAGACUCGGCUGAAGAUAGAUUAUAGAUUUAAGUACAGAGUAGGAAGUUACAGAGCGCCUAAAAUGUAACACUGAAGAAAAUCUAUCUGGUCAUGGUGUUGAAUCAGCUGGCUGGAGUCCCUUUGUUCUGUUUAUACAGAAAUAAUGUGUAGCCAAGGAGACAACCUUCAAGUUCUGGGCCCCUUUGUUUCCCUUGGUGUUUUGCAGCAGUGAGUGAUGGCCAUAAGCAGGUGGGGGCAACAGCAGGUGGUACCUUCUAGUGUUACAAUUCAUGCAUGCCUUGGAUAUUGGGACUCUAAGCCCUGUACGUGCUACAGCUCUUGUGUAAGCCUAGAAAGCUGGGAUUUUCAGCCCUUGCUUGUAAUUAGGGUUGAAGUUUGUGGGCAGCAGGAGUAGAAGGAUUUCUCAGCUCUUGACAGCAGCCAGUGUCACAAAUCUUGUGUAGGCCAGGGAAGUCGGGAUUCCUGAACCCCACACUCCGGCCAGUGUUCUGUGCUAGCCCCUCCCCCCCCCGGGGGGCCUCUGAGACCCUUCGCCCUAACGAUCUGACAGCUCUCUGGAAUUCCUCUGGCAAACAGGGCCUGCAGUUUUUCUUUUCUGACACCUUAUGCCCUUUUCUUCUUUGGCCUCAGCUGCUCACCUUCUCCCGUCGCCCCUCUUCUUCAGCCCUUCGGGUCCCACCCUAGCAGCUCUCAAACGGUUCAUCUGAUUCUUCUUCAGCUGUCAAGCAGCUGCCUUGCCUCCCUCACCGCCCAGCCUGCCAACUUGCUCAGCUGUCGCUGCCACUGCCAUUCCACUGCCUUUGCUAUCUCUCUACUCUUUCUGUUACUCAACCUCACUUCUAAAAGGAAAGGCCACUGGGGGGCAGGGGUGUGUGGGGGAGAAGGAGAGAGAGAGAGAGAGAGAGAGAGAGAGAGAGAGAGAGAGAGAGAGAGAGAGAGAGAGAGCGAUCCCUUUUAUUAGACUUAAUGUUGCCACACCAGGGAAGGCGACACAGUACAAUGUAUCGGGCCUGAUACAUUUAAUGAGCCAGCCUGGGAAGUCGGAGGGCACGACCUGAGAAGAGGCAUUGAGGCACAAACUGCCAUUUGUUUUGAGCCAAUACAGCCUUGCCUCUUAGCACCAAUCACACCACUGAGAUCUGUUUUUGGAUCAAUCGCAGCCUUGUCUCCUUACCUUAACCAGUCAGAGCAGUUUCUUUGCUAGGCCAGUGUGGUGGUUUCCUUUUGGCUUAUGUGGAAAUGGUUGCAGGGUUACAGCUUAUGGAAGGAAGCUUGCUAGAGCAAAUAGGCUGACAGGAAGGGUUUCAAACAGCCCUGGCUGAAGCUAUAGCCGUCAUUAGUUGGGACAAUCAACUAUGGCAGUCUUGUUUAGUUUUCUCAGGACCGUGUGUGAACUGUUCUUAGUGGUUGGCGCUGGCAUAAGGGUAGUUGACUAUUUGACGUGACAGUUCUGCUGCAGCUAAGGCAGCAAGGGAGAAUAUAACGCUAAUUAGAGGGUCAAAAUGAGUCAUUCUUCUGCAUGUUUGAUUAGGAGAAAAGGGACAUCAUAAAGAGUACUUAAGGACUGUUUCAUUAACGCUGAUAUCAUUGGUUUUUAUUUGUUUGUUUUGCUUUUGUUUUGUUUUAAUAGUAUUUAGCACUACCCCAAAAGGGGAAAGGUUGCUUGCACUGUACUGGCUAGUAAACUUUGAUGUGUAACACCAAAGGUCUGAUCUGUGGAAGGAAUGGAUAAAUUGCACCUCACUAAAAUUAGAUAUCUGUCUCACCAUAGACAAAAGACACGAAUUCAGCGGCUAGAACAAGCAGCUACAGACUUCGAGAAGACAUUUGGAAAACAUGCAAGUCGGUGAUGGAUGAACACGUCAUGAGCUACACGGUUUGGUACCGAAUCUGCAGUAGAGCAGCCCAAAGGACCUAGAUGGAUGGCAAAAGGCACAACAUCGAGUGAAAAGAUGCCAGUCUGAACUUUUCAGGAACUAUGCGACCCAUUUGCAUAACAUCCCCGAAAUCACUGAAACUUAGAACACAAAACAGAUUGUGAGGAUAACGGAGACCAGAAGGUGAGAGUAAAGAAAGGAGCAGCAGAAAAGUAGAUCCUUUCGGAAACAAAACAUUUCAGCAUUUUAACUCAGAGUAGCACUAUAAUGACAGAACUAUACAAGCACACAAGCCAUUGCCAAUUUCCUGGUUCCUAAUAUGACACUAAGGUUAUAUUGGCUGUAACACUUGGGUGUGAAAGUGGCGGGUGUAGGAUGCCUUUGUUUUCGUUUUGAAAUCCUAGGAAGGUUUUCCUCUUAUUAUUUUAAAUAAUGUGCUUGUGUCUGUGUAUGGCUAUGUGCACAUGAGUAUAGGUGCUCACAGAGGCCAGUGUCAUCUUGUUUUCCUGGAGUGGCAGUUGUAAGCGGCUCUGAACCACCUGACACAGGUGUUGGGAACUAAACUUGUGUCUCCUACAUGAGCAGUGCAUGUCCUUAGUUAAUGUGCCAGUUCUCCGGCCCCUGUAACUUUUACUGAACCCACAAGUGUUUCAAAAUUAAAAGUUAAAAAUUUCAAGAUUUAUAACUAACAUGACAGUUCUCGUUAAUUAACUAGGCAAGCGAAGGAGAACAUUGGAGAAGUGUGAAUAGGUCAGACUGAACCAUAGAUUUCGUUUCUAAAGAUGCAACGCAUGGUAAUGAGUAUACAGGGUAGAAAGAGGUAACCAUGUGUAACCAUAGCCCCAGAGUGAAAGGAGAGAAGAUAAGAAGAGAAGUCAACUAGGAGAAGAAGACAAUGGGUAUUUCCCAAAACUGAUAGGAGAAUCCACCUUAUUCCCAUGAGAUGAACUGCCCCAAAGGAAAGAGGAAAAACAAAGACUGUAAGCGACCAGGAAGGGGAAAGUCACUUCCCUCAUUAUCUCAAAACAAACAACAAUAACACUGACAGCUGACAUCUCACCGGAAGUCACAGAAGAAAGCCGAUCAACAGGUGCGUGCUUCCUUCCGCCUCAGCAUUCACGCUCAGCUGUGAUCUGUGAUCGUUAGUGUCGACUCUCAACUCAAUAGGAUCUGGAAUCACCUGGGAGCUGGGCUUCCGGGAACGCCUGUGGGGGGUUAUCUUGACUGUGCUAAGGGAAGACUCAUCUUAAUUGUAGGUAGGGCCAUACUCUGCACAGGACAUCUGGGCUGCCACAAGGGGAGACACCUACCUGAGCCUGAGUGUGCAUGCCUUCACUGCUCUUGAUACAUUGCACUUGCGCUGUGAGCUCAAAAUACAAAACGAGUGGGGGCUUGAGAGCUGACUAUGUCUUUAAGAGCACUGGCUACUCUCCCAGAGGACUGGAGUUUGACUCCUAGCACCCACAUGAAAACUCACAAUCAUCUGGAACAGAUGCUGUUGGCCUCCAGGGACACUACAAACAAAUGGCCUGCACACUAUGUCCAGCAAAAUGCAAAAUAAAAUGAAAAUCUUAAAAAAACAAAACAAAAUAAAACAAAAAACCCAAAA
Molecule: non-coding RNA, 8558 nt
Organism: Rattus norvegicus (Norway rat)
Lineage: Eukaryota; Metazoa; Chordata; Mammalia; Rodentia; Muridae
Source: RefSeq, a predicted model, not a curated record